GGAGCAAGGAAUGACUUUAGCAUAGCUUGUCUACCGUUUUGUUCUCCGAUGAUGUCCCACUUCCUGACCACUCUGAUGCUCCUGCUGCUGAUGCUGUCUGCUCCAGUGACCACCCAGCAGAACCACCAUCAUCUCCAAAAGAUGACAUGGAUCAAUGCCGCCAAUAGAGAUGCCCUCAACAGCACCACGAAUGACCUCAGACCUGAUGGCCCACACUCUUCUUCGACCUCUCUGACCUGGCCCAAGGAUCUUGGGACAUGGGAGACUGGACUUCUCAUCAAGGAUGGCCUGAAUGAGAGGGUUGUGGGGGGUGCCACCUGCCCCACAUAUCAGACCCCCAAUCCCUAGGCUGCUCCCAAUGUUCCCAAUAGGGCAGCCUUAAGGGUCACUGACUUUUACAUAUGCCCAGGGAGCAAUUGAACAGCAAUGGGCAUAUCCAAUGUGGUGGGGUGGACGCCUUCUACUGUGCACAAUGGAGGUGUGAGAAAAUGGGAACGGACUCCUGGAUAAGGUAAUCUCUACCCCGUUGGGUGCCUUUUUAGAAACAACCUUAAUUUGUGUCUUUGGGCCUUGCCUUUUCAAUAGGCUGGUCAGACUAAUCAGAACAAAGACUCAAGAAACCCAACUGAUGACCCCUCGAGUACACUGUGAUAGGCUCAGCCCUGAGGAUAUCUCCCUUUUGAGUGAACUUUGACAAAAGGUGCUAUAGGAGGUGAUCCUCUACGGAGGUGUCAAGAGGCCUGUACUUCGAGAUGAGAUGGGCCACAGUCUAAAACAAAAAAGGGGAAUCUGUAGGGCACACAAGCCAGCCAAAGAUGGUGCUGAGGGGAAGUCAGAUGGGCGAGUCCUGAGUUGUUUACAAAAAAAGAUGAUUGGUUGCCUAGAUUGAACCAGAUGAGGUCAUUGCAGGAACAGCAUGUGUUCACUAGGUAAAGCCUAGGGCACCCAGGGGCUUGAUAGGCUGGCCUUUAAAACCAUUGGCUGGCUGUUUUCCUGCUCUGCAGUUUUUUUCCUUUAAAAGAUGCUUGCUGUGUGGUAAUAAAUGAGUUCCUGCUUGACUAGA
Molecule: non-coding RNA, 1063 nt
Organism: Cricetulus griseus (Chinese hamster)
Lineage: Eukaryota; Metazoa; Chordata; Mammalia; Rodentia; Cricetidae
Source: RefSeq, a predicted model, not a curated record